RNAcentral lists this transfer RNA (73 nucleotides) under Planctomycetaceae bacterium TMED10. Its description in RNAcentral is "tRNA-Phe". It matches the Rfam family "tRNA". Rfam says of the family: Transfer RNA (tRNA) molecules are approximately 80 nucleotides in length. Lineage: Bacteria; Pseudomonadati; Planctomycetota; Planctomycetia; Planctomycetales; Planctomycetaceae. RNAcentral also lists the same sequence under 5 other names. The record is from RNAcentral.
GGUGGCGUAGCUCAGUUGGUAGAGCAGCGGACUGAAAAUCCGCGUGUCGCUGGUUCGAUCCCGGCCGCCACCA